GAUUAACGCUGGCGGCAUGCCUAAGACAUGCAAGUUGAACGGGACGCACCAUUGAUCUCUGAAUGAAGUUGAAGAGCUUGCUCUGAUAUGGAAUGACGAAGAAUUUGGAUUCUGCGUUCAGUAGCGAACGGGUGAGUAACACGUGGGUUACCUGCCUCCAAGAUGGGGAUAACAGUUAGAAAUGACUGCUAAUACCGAAUGUGCUAGAAAUAGUAAAGGAGCUUUCAAGCUUCACUUGGAGAUGGGCCUGCGGCGUAUUAGUUAGUUGGUGGGGUAAUGGCCUACCAAGACGACGAUGCGUAGCCGGACUGAGAGGUUGAACGGCCACACUGGGACUGAGACACGGCCCAGACUCCUACGGGAGACAGCAGUUAGGAAUAUUCGGCAAUGGGGGAAACCCUGACCGAGCAAUGCCGCGUGUGAGAUGAAGGUCCUUUGGAUCGUAAAUCACUUUUAUUUGGGAAGAAUUGUAGGUAUAGGAAAUGAUACUUA
Molecule: ribosomal RNA, 492 nt
Filed under: uncultured bacterium
Lineage: Bacteria
Description: bacterial SSU rRNA
Rfam family: Bacterial small subunit ribosomal RNA
Source: RNAcentral